Molecule: antisense RNA, 509 nt
Filed under: Saccharomonospora sp. CUA-673
Lineage: Bacteria; Bacillati; Actinomycetota; Actinomycetes; Pseudonocardiales; Pseudonocardiaceae
Description: Saccharopolyspora sRNA 350
Rfam family: Saccharopolyspora sRNA 350
Source: Rfam by way of RNAcentral
UUGACCGUGAAGUCCCAGUCGGGCACCUCCUCACCCAGAAUGCGCUCGCCGAAGAACCGGCCGUCGUUGAGCACCUCGAGCGCGGUCUGCUCGCCGUACGCGCCGGUGCCGAGUUUGCUCGCCUUGCCGUGUGCGAGCAGAACGAGUUCGUUGGCCGGGUUGCCGGCUUCUGCCAGCAGGUCUCCCGGCUCGUACUCCCGUUUCUCGAAGCGAUCGGCGAGCGCUUCGAGCGCGGCGUCGUCGUCGAAGGUGCGCAGGUACCGCAGCUCCCGCAGCUCCGGCGCCAGCACGCGGACGUCGUCACCGGAGGUCACGCACGUGAUCCGGCCGUCCCCGAUGGUGUAGGUCAAACGCCGGUUGACCCGGUAGACGCCGCCGUCCGCCUGAACCCACGGCAGCAGCUUCAACAGCCACCGCGACGUGAUGCCCUGCAUCUGCGGCGUCGACUUGGUGGUGGUCGCGAGGUUUCGCGCCGCCGCGGUACUCAGGCUCUGCUGCGGGUUCUCCGC